This 301-nucleotide ribosomal RNA is filed under the name uncultured bacterium. Its description in RNAcentral is "partial 16S ribosomal RNA". It matches the Rfam family "Bacterial small subunit ribosomal RNA", at positions 509 to 807 of the family's 1533-position model. The record is from RNAcentral.
CAGUCGCCACGGUAAUACAGAGGAUGCAAGCGUUAUCCGGAAUGAUUGGGCGUAAAGGGCUCGCAGGCGGUUUCUUAAGUCUGAUGUGAAAGCCCCCGGCUCAACCGGGGAGGGUCAUUGGAAACUGGGGAACUUGAGUGCAGAAGAGGAGAGUGGAAUUCCACGUGUAGCGGUGAAAUGCGUAGAGAUGUGGAGGAACACCAGUGGCGAAGGCGACUCUCUGGUCUGUAACUGACGCUGAGGAGCGAAAGCGUGGGGAGCGAACAAGAUUAGAUACCCGCGUAGUCCCUGUCUCUUAUAC